AAACUUUCUUGGCAGGAGAGAUACCAUGAUCAAAUAGCUGCUUUUCCUAGGUUGAGACUUACCCAUUUCACUCCUGACGUGAGGACCUCUGUGACUUCCUUCAAGUUAGGAAACUAGACAAUAUAAUAUGUGGUAGUGUUUCUGGUCUCCCCUCUAUU
Arvicanthis niloticus (Nile rat) is the source of this 158-nucleotide non-coding RNA. Lineage: Eukaryota; Metazoa; Chordata; Mammalia; Rodentia; Muridae. The record is from RefSeq and is a predicted model, not a curated record.